Molecule: long non-coding RNA, 6860 nt
Filed under: Androctonus crassicauda
Lineage: Eukaryota; Metazoa; Arthropoda; Arachnida; Scorpiones; Buthidae
Source: RNAcentral
GAUAAAGUUCAUCUUUACGAAUAGAUAGAAAAAAGUUGUAGAUUUAUAUUUUCUGUCUUAUGAAACUUUAUUGACCUUUGACCUCUUUUGACAACACUAGUUUCUUUACACGUGCCUCGGAGCGCUAAGAUUUGCCUCGUUUUUUUUAAAAGAUCAUUUGCUGGAGGAUCACCCGCUGUUUGAUGUCGGUGCCUCUUAUUGUCUCUUUUCCAACUAUAUUUAUGCGGCCUGUGGUGGCCACCACCGACAGAUGCUGGCUGGUCACGUGACCGGUUAUUGUCACAGCGGCUGGUCAUUGAACCAAACACCGAUAUUGUCUGUCGGCGUCCAGCAGCCGAAUGAAGCAAUUGGAACAAAGUUACGGAAGAAAAUGCAGAAGUUUAGGAAAUGCGGCCGGAAAUCACAUCCGCCGGAAUACAUCCGCCCAAUUCCGUCUGUGGAAGGGAAACGUUGCCUAUCGAACGUGGCCUGUGGUGAGGAGGAAGGUGACCCGUUUAGAUUCUUCCAUGUUUCGCUCCAAUGGGGAACAAUUAAAAUGUUAAACGGGCAUUUAUUGCCAGGUUUCUUUCAAAAUGGCACUUUGUUGCUCGGUCGCUCUCUUCCCGGAUUUAAUUAGGUGCGUCUGUCUAGAAAUAGUUGAGGACGUUAUGCUUCAGACGGAUAGAGAAAGAAAAGGAGAAGAAAAAAAAGAGUUACUGCAUUUCAUGUCUCGUUAACCACCCAAUGAGAGAUUAGCCUUCCUUUGACGCGCUGCAUUUGAGACUUACGUUACCGGAUAAUUGAUUACUCCGGUAAUUAUUGGUCUGAAGAGGAAAGCAUCGUUACAACCCAAACCGAAGUUUCGGUGAUUGGAUAUUUGAAGAAGUAGAUUGGACUGAGUUGCUGACGUCAGCGCUCCGAUGUAGGAGCCACCCAGAGGUCACGUAUUCAAUUCGUGACGCCACAUGCGUGAAAAUUUUUGCAAAUUGGUCUAUUGUUUGUAUUUAAAGAAACCCAAAUUAUUCGUCAACAAGGCGAAACCUUAGGAAAUAAUAAAAAUAAGAAUAACUAUUGUGGUAACGCGAGAGCCAACAUGUUCAAUGAGCCACUCUUGAGUAUGCUAUAAAAAAGGGAAGAUCCACAGCUUGACGUACUAAUCCCCAUAGACUUAUCUGAACGAUGCACUCUACUCCGCACGUACAGAAUAUGUCGGGAUUAGGUUCCUGAGGGAGAAGAGCCGAGAAGGAAAAACUUGCAAGAUAAAGGAAGAAGACCCGCAGCCCGAGGCAAGACGGUUUGUUUCUCUGGGGAAGACACGACGGUUUAAUCAGUAAAUGGUCAGAAAGGAAAAGAAAAGUCCUCUUUUUCUCGUCUCGUAGAUGUUAUCUUCUGCCUUUCAUUGUUAGUGGGUGAAUCGUAAAGAUUUGGAGAUGUCUUUCUCUAAAGUCGGUGGCUGAGCGCACCUCCUUCAAUUGCAGGAUUCUCAUCAUUGAUUCUAACCAACUGUUCAAUUCCUAGAUAUUUUACAUUUGUUUUGGUGUAAAUUGGAAGAGAGCGCCAACAAAUUUAAGAUUCCCCAUAAUUAAGUUAAAGUCUGACACUAUCUAUAAUUUAAUAAAUAAAUUUUUAAUGGAGGCGCAGUCUGUCGAUGUGUCACUAACAUCUUUAAUGGAGUCAACAUUAAUUUAUCAUCACUCGCUUUAGCCGAUGCUAACCAAUCGGUAGGUGGUCCUCCCCACUUGCCCCUAUAUUGACACAAAGAUUGACAUCCCAUUAAUCAUAGCCAGAGAAAUCCUUUUGCUUUCGUGAUUCACGCUGUUCGAACGUGACACUUCUCCCAGCAACUGGACACACUGAUGUCACUCAGUGAUUAGUUCCCGGAGUGACUGGAGCCAAGGUGCAGUUGGCACGUAUUCACCCCAAGUUCUUCAGACUUAAUGGUCACCUUUGUUAGUAGUAUGUACGUCGAUGACGUCAUAACCGAACGAUUUUAAGUGGACCACUUGGUCUUUCCGAGUAGGCGGCCGUGCAUUAAGGGCGCAGUGUGCAGCUAAAAGCCAGCUGGCGAAGUAACGAUCGGGCUGAUGAGGAACAGCCAACGCACCAUUUUUAAAGCAGUAAAUGAAGAGAAGUUUCAUUGCCGUGUUGUCGGGUCGUUUACCCCACGUGGUCCAACAGAUAAGCCGAAAAUGAAAAAAAAGAGAAAGGGAUCCUCGUUUUCACUCUUAUUGAAUCGAUGAGAGUAACACGCAGGAUAAUCGAAUAGUCGGAAAUAUCUCUCACUUUAGGUUCUUUAUGACUGUUAACAGAUUCUAUCUCUGCAUGGAAUCGUUUCUUUCUCUCCUGACUUCUGAUCUGUGCAAUUUCUAGAAAACCUUUAAUACCACGUUUAUAUCGUCUGACAGGUAAGUGUAAAAACUCCAAUCACGUUUAAAAUCUUCUAUAGAAUAUUAUUUAGAUUUAUAUUAUUAUUUUCUGGUUUUAUCGAAUAAAACGAAUUCAUUCGAUUCUUCUCUUUUGAACGCGCUUCUCUGAAAAAGUUAGAGAUUUUCAUUUUGGAAAAUAUAAAUUUAUUUCCUAACCGAGGGUUUGGUUGGGUCGAAACAUUUAUCAAAUCGACAACGUUCAUAAUAAAUACGAAAGGUUAAACAGUCGAGAGUGAAAACGUUAGUGUGUCCUCGAGUCGAGCAAUUCCUUCCAGAAGCACUUCCUGCCAAACCGAUGGACUAAAACUACUCCCGCUCAACAAUAUCACCAUCUUAUCUUUUUCUAUUCCUCUCAUGACGAUAAGAAUGGCGAGUAUUUAUUCCAUCUAGCAGUAAGUAGAGUAGUCAGUUGAAAAAAUAAACACGGACGAAAAUAUCCCUUCUAUCGUGUGAUCGCAUUUCCACUUGUCCCCUCCAUCUGUCGUCUUCCAGAAAAUUGGAAAUGCCACGUGAAUUCUAAUUGCAACUUUUAUAUUUAAUUAACUCUGUUAUUGUUUACAUUGAUCUCGAUUAAAAAAAAAGAAAAGUUGGAAAAUUGGAUUUUAAGAACCGAUCCAUGUUUUUGCUAUUCGUAUUUGAAAAAGUUUGAAUAGGAAGUGGUUAUCGGAUUAAUUUUAAGAUUUAUUCUACUUUAUAUUGAUCCGAAUCGAAUCCAAAUCGGAUUUAGAAAGCAAUUUGUCUCCAAGAAAAGAUUUAGGAUCCAGUUAGAAUCCUUCGUGCAUGAUUUAAUACGUUAUAAAUUUAUAAAGAUUCUUAUUGCUAUUAUUUAAAUUUUUGUGUAAUUUAAAAAAAGUGUUGUUUUAUCCGAAAUUUUCUUUUAAAAAGUAGAGCAAUUAAGUUUUUUAAGUAACGACUUUUAUUUUGUGUUAUAUGAGAAGACGUCACUUUUAUUCAUCCGCAGCAUUCAAAACUAGUGGGAUAAUAGAGCGAAGAGAAUGAGGAAUGCGACAGCUAUCUAGUCUAAGAGGGAGUGCUGGAAAGAAUUAAAAUCUUUCAGACAUUCGCGUCCAUGCUGUUGCCUUGACAACUUUGCUUUACUACACGCAAACAACCCAGUGGGAUUUUUCAACUUAUCGGAGAACAAACGGAGGGCCAAAUAGCUCGUUCUUUACUCCAUUUACGUUAAAGUAGGCGGCUCACGCACUACCGACUAAAUGACACUUUGGCCAGAAGUCUGAUGGGAAUUUAAAGCGACGUCGCCUUUCACUUCCACUCAUAAGUUUCCACUUUGUGCCCGCUUCGUUUCUCCAUCCCUAUAACAUUCAAUAACCCAUUAACAACAGUUGGCCCGUAAUUCCUACCCUAAUCUAUAGCGAGUAAUCUCUUAAGGGUGCAUAAAUGUAAAAGUGUUGCUACGGGUGCUCUUCGAUUAGAAUGGCAUAGUGGUGGUUUACGGGGCGAAGGCAAACAGAGAGUGCACGCUACUUAAUCACCUUUAUUCACGCCAUUGAGCAAUAUUAUAUUGUUACAGUUUGUACACGUUGUGUAAUGGCAGCUGCAACCGGUCGUGAUUCGCGAUUUUAGGAGUUUAUAUUAAUGUCUGGCCAACUCCGGUAAUCCGCAUUCGUUUCUAUCCAUUUAUAAGGAAGGCGACACGAAUGAAAAACAGUACACGGUUCCACCCAGCAUUCACCGUUACAAUUAAUUCUAUGCCCAGUUAUUAUUGCUAUCUCUAUGUCGACAGCGCAUUUUAAGCAUUCUCUGUAGGCAAUACUUAUCAAAAAUGGAUCUGUCAUUUUUAAUUUACAGAUUAUCGAGAAAAUUUAAUUUUUAAUUCUUACCUUAAUAUUGAUAUUUCGAUUUAGAAGAGCGAAGAUGUCGUUGGUAGGCACCGACCGCUUAAUCUUUCUUGGCUUUCUGUACUCAGACUUCUGGACAUCUCGAUCCCUUUUCUCUCAUUUGUCAACAGUUGUCAUUUUCUUCUCGCAAGAUCGGAGGAAGAGUAUUUCUUCCUCCCGGAAUAAGAUAAGUCACACCCUCUUCGCGCUAGACGAAUAAAUAAUAAAUUAAUCAUUUUUAAAAACAUGUCUUGGCACAAGUCGACUUUUCGUUUCUCCGAUAAUUAUGGUAUUUAGCAUUCGAUUAAUCAUCUUCCAUGAUUAGUAGAUGAGUCUGGUCGAAAGGUGCUAUUUUAUGGUUAUUUUUAAACUUACGACAGAAUAAUAGCAGUAUUUCUUAUUAUUAUAUUUCACGGAGUUUUAGCGUAAUCAUUUUCCUGGUCUUGUUAAUCCUCCAUAGAUAUCGAAGUUUAUUAAAUACAGUUUAUUAAGCGGAUAUAAUUGGCUUUAAUCAAAUCUGUCUGAUUCUAGCUGGGUUCGGCUCUUCAGAUUCUGUUUUAUUCGUUAGGAGCGUGUCCUCGGGGAUUAAUUACCGAUUUUGUUUAGUAUAUAAGUCGUUUAGAGGGGCAAUCAUUCUUAUUCAAUCGCAGGCGUUGCAAAUGAUGCUCGGAUGAUACACAUCCAUCGAUAGUGGAGGCAGAGUGUGGGGAAGUCACGUAAACCAUCACCGAUGGUAGAGUGCCCCCGAAAAAAGUGCUGCCAACGUAGCUAAUAGCCUUCCCGGUUGUUUAAUUCCCACUAAUUGGGAAGGCAACCCACUCCCCUUCUCUCGCGCCGUCCGUCAUUCGCACGUGCGUGGAAGGGAUCCUAUCGAUCUGUUCCCUGUUGAACGUGGUCUGCGCUCGGCCCUUUAAUGAUCUGAGCCGUUAAGCCUAAUUCCUUCUAUUUAUAUGCACUUUCCGGUCGGCUGAGUACCGUCCUCGCGAGUUACGACGUGUGGUAUGCAAUAGUCGUUUUGUAGUACCCCCGCUUCCCUUCACGCCUUGCUACUCCGGGAAUGCGAUUCAAUAUGUUUUUGGUUAGUGUGUAUGUAGCGUUCUUUUUCCAAUUUCUUGAACAGUUUGUUACGAACCGUUCCUUAAGUAGUUUACCUCUUCUUUCUUCUCUCCGAUAUUUCGAUUAACGAAGUAUUUGAAGUGUUGUAACCUCCGCGAUUUCUCUUCUCUUUGCAUUAAGUCGAGAUGUUAAAAUAUGCAGGAAAAUCGGAUAGCUAAGGUAUGUUAGGAUUGUUUUUAUCAUCUGUCUUUUUUAAUUACAGUAGGAAUUUCGAUACCGACUGGUCGCACCAAUGCGCUCUUUAGACUAAUCCCAUUUAUUUUCCAUUAAAAAAGACAUUCGUGACUAGUUUAGGUUUUUUUACUUCCUCUCUUUCUCUCUCUUUGUCUAAUUUUUGCUAGACACGGUCGAUAGAAGGUUGUAUGUUUUGGUUAAAGGAAGAUUUUUCCAGGUUUCCAUACGGAAUUGAGUUUUACAAGUUUCAAUCAAUCGCCUCCGACAGGUAACAGCUCCCGUAGGUGUAGAAAGGAUAAAGAGCUGAUUGGAGCUAGAACCAUGUCGUGAUUUCUCCUGUGUUUCUAUUAGGUUGAGUUUACUCCUUCGUUCGACAUGAUUGAGAACUUUCUACGGCCAAGAGAAAAACUAGAACAACCGAGAAAGAAUAUCCUGAGAACAUUUUAAGUUUUUUUUUUUUUUAUAUUCAAUUUGCUAAUCGUCUUCUCGCUGGUAUAUCAAGGAUGCAAUAAAAAACCUUCAUUUAAAAGGAGGAAAAAAAAAAUUGGAAAUCCAAUCUGCCUAACUUCUGUUUUGAUUCCCGCGCGGUCGAAAUCCUAAAUCAAACGAUUUUAAAUCAAGAAAAAUGCUCCAAAUCGUAUUUUCGUUCCGGUUGUUACGAAAACCGGUAGGAGAUCAUCUAUCACUUCGGUAUGGACAAAAUUGACAAGCCGUUUGGCCACGCGGGACCGAGUGGCACACCUGAGGCAGAUCAUUGUGUAUGUGAGUUAUCUGGCCCAGCCAAUGUCACUUAUCUAUAUUUCAGUAGCAUCCUCCAGGCCCUUCUCUAUUCAGUGGUUAACGUCUGGUUCAGAUCGUCCCUCUUUUGUCGUAAGAUGCUUAAAUUGAUGACGGUAACGGUUAUGCGCGUCAAAACAGCUGCAUUAGUAGCUUGUAAUCUACUAUAGUGUGGCGGAGGAUAUUAAGGAAAUGUGGUCUCAUUUCCUUAAUAGGUGGGUGAAGUGCGCUCCCAACUUUUCUCUCGAGAUCUCGUUUGACUGCGGGCUCUUAAAACGUCAUAAUCCUCUGGACUUCCGAUAUGCCAAAGGAUAAUCUGCACAAUUUAAUUAUCAUUCCAGGCCAUUGUCUUUGGCAUAAUCUAUAACAAUCGAGUCGCUUCCUCCUGUCACAGCCUUCAGCUCUCAUUUUCUAGUAAAUAUCACAGAACAGAUCAGCUAACAGAAUCUUUGGCGGAAAAGAUAGGUUUAUCUUAAUUUGUUUUGAUUCAGAAACUUGUUUCGUCGACUAUUAGAACCGCUACAAUAUUUAUAUUUUGAUAAAUUUUCUA